Mauremys reevesii (Reeves's turtle) is the source of this 805-nucleotide long non-coding RNA. RefSeq lists it as uncharacterized. The record is from RefSeq and is a predicted model, not a curated record. The transcript has 3 exons. Lineage: Eukaryota; Metazoa; Chordata; Testudines; Geoemydidae.
UUCCCAGGCGGUUGGUGUAAUUCGUACUCUGGGCAUGUCGAGAGGCCCGGCCCGAGAUCAGGGCCCCGCUGUGCUAGGUGUGGGACGGACUCAAAUGCAGCCUCAGAGAGCUCAUGGUUUGGACAGGAAGCGUCAUCCCCACCGUGCAGCUGGGGACAGGGGAUCAGUGACUCUUCCGCCGUCACACCAGGGGUCUGUGAGAGCUGGGACCUUGAACCAGGAAGGCUUGUCCAGCGCCUGCACAAGGAGAGAGACACCAGUUCCCUUUAAAUUCCUUUCACAGACCCUCUGUAACGGACGCUCUGAUUUGUGGGAGCUGGUGAGACCCGGCUGGAGAUCAGCCCAGGUGGGCCCCUGCAGUAGGUGCUACCCCAGUGCGUGUGGGUUUCAGAUGGGCCCAGCUGCGCAGCAGGAAAACUGAAAGCAGCAGGCUGUGUGUGCGAGCAGGCAGGCGGGGCCAGGCAGCACUGAUGGACAGGAGGUUACGCCAGCCGUGCUGGGGUUUGGUGGCUCAAGGGGACCCGUGGAGAAGCAGGGAGGAGUGGACAUUCUCAGCUGCAACAGCUAGAGGGUUAGGAGUGGAGGUUCGAUUCUGAUUGGCACUCGCCUCCUUUGGAAAUGACCUUCCGUGAUGAAACAGUUUGUGGCGUGAGUGCGUCAGGACGGCAUCUGAAGGGACUUUGGAGAGAGGACCGCAGAGUGCUCCGUCUAUUUAACUGGCCUUCACCCGAUCAUCCAUAUGAACCAUGUGCAUCGGCUUGCUAAGGAGCACCUUUCUUUGCAGGGGAUGACUGAGGGGCUUCGG